RNAcentral lists this ribosomal RNA (254 nucleotides) under uncultured bacterium. Its description in RNAcentral is "partial 16S ribosomal RNA". It matches the Rfam family "Bacterial small subunit ribosomal RNA", at positions 524 to 776 of the family's 1533-position model. The record is from RNAcentral.
UACGUAGGGGGCAAGCGUUGUCCGGAUUUAUUGGGCGUAAAGAGCUCGUAGGCGGCUCAGCAAGUCAGUGGUGAAAGCCCGGGGCUUAACCCCGGGAUUGCCAUUGAGACUGUUGUGGCUAGAGUCCGGUAGAGGAGAGUGGAAUUCCCGGUGUAGCGGUGAAAUGCACAGAUAUCGGGAGGAACACCAGUAGCGAAGGCGGCUCUCUGGGCCGGUACUGACGCUGAGGAGCGAAAGCGUGGGUAGCAAACAGG